This 468-nucleotide ribosomal RNA is filed under the name uncultured bacterium. RNAcentral describes it as "partial 16S ribosomal RNA". It matches the Rfam family "Bacterial small subunit ribosomal RNA", at positions 28 to 507 of the family's 1533-position model. The record is from RNAcentral.
GACGAACGCUGGCGGCGUGCUUAACACAUGCAAGUCGAACGGAAAGGCCCUGCUUUUGUGGGGUGCUCGAGUGGCGAACGGGUGAGUAACACGUGAGUAACCUGCCCUUGACUUUGGGAUAACUUCAGGAAACUGGGGCUAAUACCGGAUAGGAGCUCCUGCUGCAUGGUGGGGGUUGGAAAGUUUCGGCGGUUGGGGAUGGACUCGCGGCUUAUCAGCUUGUUGGUGGGGUAGUGGCUUACCAAGGCUUUGACGGGUAGCCGGCCUGAGAGGGUGACCGGCCACAUUGGGACUGAGAUACGGCCCCGACUCCUACGGGAGGCAGCAGUGGGGAAUAUUGCACAAUGGGCGGAAGCCUGAUGCAGCAAAGCCGCGUGCGGGAUGAAGGCCUUCGGGUUGUAAACCGCUUUCGCCUGUGACGAAGCGUGAGUGACGGUAAUGGGUAAAGAAGCACCGGCUAACUACGUG